RNAcentral lists this ribosomal RNA (492 nucleotides) under uncultured bacterium. RNAcentral describes it as "partial 16S ribosomal RNA". It matches the Rfam family "Bacterial small subunit ribosomal RNA", at positions 29 to 507 of the family's 1533-position model. The record is from RNAcentral.
AGUGAACGCUGGCGGUAGGCCUAACACAUGCAAGUCGAACGGCAGCACAGUAAGAGCUUGCUCUUACGGGUGGCGAGUGGCGGACGGGUGAGGAAUACAUCGGAAUCUACUUUUUCGUGGGGGAUAACGUAGGGAAACUUACGCUAAUACCGCAUACGACCUACGGGUGAAAGCAGGGGAUCUUCGGACCUUGCGCGAUUGAAUGAGCCGAUGUCGGAUUAGCUAGUUGGCGGGGUAAAGGCCCACCAAGGCGACGAUCCGUAGCUGGUCUGAGAGGAUGAUCAGCGACACUGGAACUGAGACACGGUCCAGACUCCUAAGGGAGGCAGCAGUGGGGAAUAUUGGACAAUGGGCGCAAGCCUGAUCCAGCCAUACCGCGUGGGUGAAGAAGGCCUUCGGGUUGUAAAGACCUUUUGUUGGGAAAGAAAAGCAGCAGGUUAAUACCCCGCUGUUCUGACGGUACCCAAAGAAUAAGCACCGGCUAACUUCGUG